AACGCACAUUGCACCCUUUGGCAUUCCGAGGGGUAUGUCUGUUCGAGCGUCAUUUAUACCUCAAGCCCUAGGCUUGGUGAUGGGCAAUGCCAGCUAUAAGGCAUGCCUGAAAAUCAGAGGCAGUGAAGCCUGAGUGCGGAAGCGUAGUGAUAAUUUUAUAACCGCUUAGGCCUCAGGUGAAGCUUGCAGAACACCAAACAAUGUUUUUGACCUCGGAUCGGGUAGGGAUACCCGCUGAACUUAA
Molecule: unclassified non-coding RNA, 244 nt
Filed under: uncultured fungus
Lineage: Eukaryota; Fungi
Description: partial contains 5.8S ribosomal RNA, internal transcribed spacer 2, and large subunit ribosomal RNA
Source: RNAcentral